CGGGGACCCGCACAAGCGGUGGAGCAUGUGGUUUAAUUCGACGAUACGCGAAGAACCUUACCUGCCCUUGACAUAGAAAGAACUUACUAGAGAUAGUUUGGUGCUAGCUUGCUAGAACUUUCAUACAGGUGCUGCACGGCUGUCGUCAGCUCGUGUCGUGAGAUGUUGGGUUAAGUCCCGCAACGAGCGCAACCCUCGUGUUUAGUUACUAACAGUUCGGCUGAGGACUCUAGACAGACUGCCUGGGUAACCAGGAGGAAGGUGAGGACGACGUCAAGUCAUCAUGGCCCUUACGGCCAGGGCUACACACGUGCUACAAUGGGGUAUACAAAGAGCCGCAAUACCGCGAGGUGGAGCAAAUCUCAUAAAAUAUCUCCCAGUUCGGAUUGAAGUCUGCAACUCGACUUCAUGAAGUUGGAAUCGCUAGUAAUCGUGAAUCAGCAAUGUCACGGUGAAUACGUUCCCGGGUC
RNAcentral lists this ribosomal RNA (470 nucleotides) under uncultured Campylobacterota bacterium. RNAcentral describes it as "bacterial SSU rRNA". It matches the Rfam family "Bacterial small subunit ribosomal RNA", at positions 914 to 1380 of the family's 1533-position model. The record is from RNAcentral. Lineage: Bacteria; Pseudomonadati; Campylobacterota.